AAGAUAUUCAAGAUAUGCAUUUACAAGCAGGGUGGAUCCAGCUUCUGUGGAAUCUAAGGAGGGGGGAAUCUCCUGUAGACAAAGUAUUAAAAUAUCUUAUUUUUGCAGAUGGCACAAAGAUACUUGACCAUAUGAAUCAAUGGGACAGGGUGGUGCGAGUGAAGGAGCCCAGAGCAGAGCUUCAAGAGUUUCUCAGUAAAUCUGUCCCUGCUCAUGAAUGGAUGAUCUCACCAUGAUCUCACCUUGGAGGGGGAGCAGAAAGAACCAGAAUAAGGAGAAGAUUGUGAGCCCCGGUGACAGGAAGGCCCAGAGCUCCCUGGGAGUGCUGGACUCUGUGACUCAGGGAUGCACACACUGUGUGUGUGACCUUUGACCUGUGAACUGGUCUGAGGCAAAGCAGUCUGCGGCAGUGGCCUUCAUGUGCUACACUAUGCAGCACAUCUAUGGAGAUUGCACCUCCAGUGAAAGCCCAGCUCCCCACCCCACCCCCGCCACCAUGGACUUGUAUGUGUGAAUGGGGGUGAGCAGGGAGCAGAGGCAGGGCACACAGCUGGUAUUCAUUGCCUUAGUUACACAGCUACUACAACCAUCUGCAGAGACUUCUCUUGUAUGCGAUGGCAACUCUUCUGGAAAAACUGAUUGCCCUGGUUGUAGAAGAGGCGAUGAUCCCAAGCAAUAAAAUCACCAUAG
This 690-nucleotide long non-coding RNA is filed under the name Canis lupus familiaris (dog). RNAcentral describes it as "lncRNA (ENSCAFG00000053225.1, ENSCAFG00845002421.1)". Lineage: Eukaryota; Metazoa; Chordata; Mammalia; Carnivora; Canidae. The record is from RNAcentral.